UACGGAGGAUGCGAGCGUUAUCCGGAUUUAUUGGGUUUAAAGGGUGCGCAGGCGGGAGAUUAAGUCGGCGGUGAAAUUUUGCAGCUCAACUGUAAAAGUGCCUUCGAAACUGGUUUCCUUGAGUGUAGAUGAAGUAGGCGGAAUUUGUGGUGUAGCGGUGAAAUGCUUAGAUAUCACGAGGAACUCCGAUUGCGCAGGCAGCUUACUAAACUACUACUGACGCUAAGGCACGAAGGCGUGGGGAUCAAACAGGAUUAGAUACCCCGGUAGUCCCUGA
This 277-nucleotide ribosomal RNA is filed under the name uncultured prokaryote. Its description in RNAcentral is "partial 16S ribosomal RNA". It matches the Rfam family "Bacterial small subunit ribosomal RNA", at positions 524 to 800 of the family's 1533-position model. The record is from RNAcentral.